RNAcentral lists this small RNA (35 nucleotides) under Arabidopsis thaliana (thale cress). RNAcentral describes it as "ATSL247580". Lineage: Eukaryota; Viridiplantae; Streptophyta; Magnoliopsida; Brassicales; Brassicaceae. The record is from RNAcentral.
GUUGUUGUUGUUGUUGUUCUUCUUCUCCUCCUCUC